CUCUUACGGGAGGCAGCAGUGGGGAAUUUUCCGCAAUGGGCGAAAGCCUGACGGAGCAACGCCGCGUGAGGGAUGAAGGCCUCUGGGCUGUAAACCUCUUUUCUCAAGGAAGAAGAUCUGACGGUACUUGAGGAAUAAGCCACGGCUAAUUCCGUGCCAGCAGCCGCGGUAAU
RNAcentral lists this ribosomal RNA (173 nucleotides) under uncultured cyanobacterium. RNAcentral describes it as "partial 16S ribosomal RNA". It matches the Rfam family "Bacterial small subunit ribosomal RNA", at positions 336 to 524 of the family's 1533-position model. The record is from RNAcentral. Lineage: Bacteria; Bacillati; Cyanobacteriota.